GUCAGGUUGGCCGAGCGGUCUAAGGCGCCAGAUUUAAGCUCUGGUCCCGAGAGGGAGCGUGGGUUCGAACCCCACACCUGACA
RNAcentral lists this transfer RNA (83 nucleotides) under Megaselia scalaris. RNAcentral's name for it is "tRNA-Leu for anticodon UAA". It matches the Rfam family "tRNA". From Rfam's summary of the family: Transfer RNA (tRNA) molecules are approximately 80 nucleotides in length. Their secondary structure includes four short double-helical elements and three loops (D, anti-codon, and T loops). The record is from Rfam by way of RNAcentral. Lineage: Eukaryota; Metazoa; Arthropoda; Insecta; Diptera; Phoridae.